RNAcentral lists this ribosomal RNA (471 nucleotides) under uncultured bacterium. RNAcentral's name for it is "bacterial SSU rRNA". It matches the Rfam family "Bacterial small subunit ribosomal RNA", at positions 329 to 793 of the family's 1533-position model. The record is from RNAcentral.
GCAGAGCAUCCUACGGGAGGCAGCAGUGGGGAAUAUUGCACAAUGGGCGCAAGCCUGAUGCAGCCAUGCCGCGUGUAUGAAGAAGGCCUUCGGGUUGUAAAGUACUUUCAGCAGUGAGGAAGGUGGAUAUGUUAAUAGCAUAUUCAUUUGACGUUAGCUGCAGAAGAAGCACCGGCUAACUCCGUGCCAGCAGCCGCGGUAAUACGGAGGGUGCGAGCGUUAAUCGGAAUUACUGGGCGUAAAGCGCAUGCAGGUGGUUUGUUAAGUCAGAUGUGAAAGCCCGGGGCUCAACCUCGGAAUUGCAUUUGAAACUGGCAAACUAGAGUACUGUAGAGGGGGUAGAAUUUCAGGUGUAGCGGUGAAAUGCGUAGAGAUCUGAAGGAAUACCGGUGGCGAAGGCGGCCCCCUGGACAGAUACUGACACUCAGAUGCGAAAGCGUGGGGAGCAAACAGGAUUAGAUACCCUGGUAG